Molecule: ribosomal RNA, 638 nt
Filed under: uncultured bacterium
Lineage: Bacteria
Description: bacterial SSU rRNA
Rfam family: Bacterial small subunit ribosomal RNA
Source: RNAcentral
GGGUAGAGGGAAAAGGAGCAAUCCGCUUUGAGAUGGCCUCGCGUCCGAUUAGCUAGUUGGUGAGGUAAUGGCCCACCAAGGCGACGAUCGGUAGCCGGACUGAGAGGUUGAACGGCCACAUUGGGACUGAGACACGGCCCAGACUCCUACGGGAGGCAGCAGUGGGGAAUAUUGCACAAUGGGGGAAACCCUGAUGCAGCGACGCCGCGUGGAGGAAGAAGGUCUUCGGAUUGUAAACUCCUGUUGUUGAGGAAGAUAAUGACGGUACUCAACAAGGAAGUGACGGCUAACUACGUGCCAGCAGCCGCGGUAAAACGUAGGUCACAAGCGUUGUCCGGAAUUACUGGGUGUAAAGGGAGCGCAGGCGGGAAGACAAGUUGGAAGUGAAAUCCAUGGGCUCAACCCAUGAACUGCUUUCAAAACUGUUUUUCUUGAGUAGUGCAGAGGUAGGCGGAAUUCCCGGUGUAGCGGUGGAAUGCGUAGAUAUCGGGAGGAACACCAGUGGCGAAGGCGGCCUACUGGGCACCAACUGACGCUGAGGCUCGAAAGUGUGGGUAGCAAACAGGAUUAGAUACCCUGGUAGUCCACACUGUAAACGAUGAUUACUAGGUGUUGGAGGAUUGACCCCUUCAGUGCCG